UCUAGAACUCAAGAUAUGAGCUGAAAACUUAACAGUGUCUGAGCUGCAGGACAGAUUCCGACUUCUUCGUUGAUGCUAAGAUUUGAACUUGAAAACGGCAGAAUUGAGUCUUGGACUCCUCAUGAAAGUUUUAGGUCUAUGUCUUAGCUUUCCAUA
Non-coding RNA from Populus trichocarpa (black cottonwood), 156 nucleotides. The record is from Rfam. Lineage: Eukaryota; Viridiplantae; Streptophyta; Magnoliopsida; Malpighiales; Salicaceae.